This 370-nucleotide RNase P RNA is filed under the name Sediminibacterium sp. RNAcentral's name for it is "RNase P RNA component class A". It matches the Rfam family "Bacterial RNase P class A". From Rfam's summary of the family: Ribonuclease P (RNase P) is a ubiquitous endoribonuclease, found in archaea, bacteria and eukarya as well as chloroplasts and mitochondria. Its best characterised activity is the generation of mature 5'-ends of tRNAs by cleaving the 5'-leader elements of precursor-tRNAs. The record is from RNAcentral. Lineage: Bacteria; Pseudomonadati; Bacteroidota; Chitinophagia; Chitinophagales; Chitinophagaceae.
CUACAAACCCGAGCCAUCGCUCCGAGCAAUCGGGGAGGAAAGUCCGGACAGUAAAGAGCAACCCACCGGUUAAGCGCCGGCUUCCCGCUAACCCGGGAAAGAGAGAGUGCCACAGAAAAUAACUAUCACACCAAAAGUGUGACAAAGGUGAAAACGUGAGGUAAGAGCUCACGGCUGUAACUGGUAACAGGGGCAGCGGGUAAACCUUGGGUACUGUAAUGCCAUGUAUAGGAACGUUGGAGGGCUGCUCGCCCGAGUUGCUGCUUUGCAGCACAGGUUCCAGGGUAGGCAGCAAGAUCGGUUCAGUAAUGACCCGGCCAGAUAAAUGAUGGAGUUGAAACAGAAUCCGGCUUACGAGGUUUGUAGUUUU